Molecule: transfer RNA, 71 nt
Filed under: Perkinsus olseni
Lineage: Eukaryota; Perkinsozoa; Perkinsida; Perkinsidae
Description: tRNA-Gly
Rfam family: tRNA
About the family: Transfer RNA (tRNA) molecules are approximately 80 nucleotides in length. Their secondary structure includes four short double-helical elements and three loops (D, anti-codon, and T loops).
Source: RNAcentral
GCAUCAUUGGUCUAGUGGUAGAAUACAACGUUGCCAUCGUUGUGACCCGAGUUCGAUUCUCGGUUGAUGCA